AAUGCGCAAUUUCAUCAACAGGAGAAAUGUGUGAGCUUUAUUGAAGAAGUACAGUGAUUCGUAGCUAAGUUGGGACGAAUUUCAAGAAUUAAAAUCUGAAAUAUCUUCAAAGGGGCUUAGGACUCUACUUCAAUGGUUAGAGACACAAGGAUUUAUCACGAGUUGUCCAAAGUCGUGCAGAAGGUUAUUGGCAGCAUUGGCUUCUGACACACCAGUAUGCGCAAUUGUGCCCCCCAAAUUGAGUUUUUAUCAGAAAGGCAUGUUGUAUCAAAAUUAAGCUUAUGAUCACUUUAUUCAAUUUAAAACCGUAGAAUUAAAUGGUGUGUACGGCGAUUAAUUAGAUUAUUCGAUAAUAUCUUCUUCCAGGAAA
This is a long non-coding RNA of Xenia sp. Carnegie-2017, 370 nucleotides long. RefSeq lists it as uncharacterized. The transcript is spliced from 2 exons. The record is from RefSeq and is a predicted model, not a curated record. Lineage: Eukaryota; Metazoa; Cnidaria; Anthozoa; Malacalcyonacea; Xeniidae.